AACAUCUACAAACAAUUCUUAGUAGUCCUGGUCCUAGUAAAUAUUGUUAAAAAUUUUACCUGCCCUAACUUACUAGAUUGAAUAACAAAAUAUACUAGCAGUUAGCAUUAACAUUGAAAUAAAAAAUAUUUUGCAGUUUUAUUAAAACAGCCAUAUUGAAAUAAAAUGAUACAAAUCAAUGGCAAUUUUAUUAAAACUUAUUACAACUUUAUUAAAACAACAAUUUACAACCGUAUUGAAACAACAGUUUGUAAACAUAUUGAAAAAACAUUGACCGUAUUAAAAUAGCAAUUUGUAACUAUAUUAAUAUAAUAUAGGUUAAGGGUAAUAAUUAGUUGCUGUCCUUUUCAAAUAAAACAGAUUUGUUUUAAGUUUUUAUCAUAUUUAGUAGAGUAUAUUUAUAACAGUUUAUCAUCUAUAAUGGUAUAUUUGAAUAAAGUUUUUAAAAGCACGCCACUAAGUUAAUAUUUCUGAGUAGAAAAAUGUAAGUAGUAGACAUCAAUGAUAAUUGUGGAUUAAUUAAAUUUAGCUCUACAUCUGAAAAAAUACUAAUUAGCGACACAUAAAAGGCACUUAUUUAAAAAUAAUUUAAUAUUUAAAAGACACCAUCAGAGGCAAUUCUGUAUAUAAAAUAAAGGGGUAUGGGUAGGGGAAUCCUUGAAAAGCACCGACUGCUUAAUAAAAAAAAAAAAUUCCUCAAAACUAUAAACCACCUAACUCAAAUGUAUCAAAUACCCAAUUAGCCGACUAUAUUCCCUAAAAAAUCAACUAUAAUUUGCCUUCUUUAAGGGGGACGGUGGAUAUGGCACCCCAAACCCUCCCUCUCCCUGCAUCCCCCGUGUAAGCGUCUCUGAACGCCAGUUGGUUACGUAAUUUUUUUUUUACAUUUAAAUAUCCGUAUUACAUCUUUGUUUAAGCUGAAGUAACGAUUCUUAAGCCAUUUUAUGGUGCUCGUAUAAUUAUUUUUUUCGUGUUGUAAAACAGAUGUUGCGCGUCUUGUUGCAGCAGUUUUUUGUUUUAAAGCAACUUCCAUUAAGCUGAGAUAGUGAACUUGAUAUUGUUGGGAAAAACACGGGACAAUAGCUUCUUUAGCUCGCAUAGUAAUAUCUGCAGAGAAAAAAAAGAAAGAGAAGUAACGUGAGAAAAAUUUGCGUUUUUGUACAUUAUUCAACUUGAACAAUCAUAAUUUGAAGAGUCUCAACAGAAUCCAGAUAUGAGUACUAUAAUAAAAGAUACAAGGAAAAAUAUUAUAUUCAGACAAAUAUUCGAGGGAGUGAAUAGAAUAAGGUUUAAAAAAAUGACAAGCAUAAUAAAAAGAGAUAACCUUAGAAGUUGCCAAUUUUAAAAUAGAUUUAACAUAUGGUUUUUUAUAUAUGGUCAAGACAAUGAUAAUCCAAGAAAACUUGCAGUAAAACUGUACAUUACAUUUAGAAGUAUCAAGAUUAUUACAUUAUAGGUUGCAGAAUUGAAGUAUCAAGAUUAUUACAUUAUAGGUUGCAGUAUUGAAGUAUCAAGAUUAUUACAUUAUAGGUUGCAUGAAAAUAACUGAGCUUUAUUUAAAUUAAAGUUCAUCAACCACUGUUAGUUUCUGGCUUACAAAGAAAAAAUUGCGUUUAAGAUGGAUGCUUGUUUUAAAUAAUUAUAAAGUAAAGACAGAAAAUUAUUUUGUAUAAAAAAUCAUAAGAUAGAAUAAUAUAUGAAAACAAUAUAGGUCAGGAUCUUAAAAAUCGAUUUUCAUCUUUCCAAUAGUUAUUAAGGUCCCAAGAGAAAUAGAAUAUAGACUUUUUUUUAACGCUAUUUAAAAAUACAAGUAAGUAGUUAGGAUUAAUAAGCUAUAGUAAUAAAUUUAAAAAAAGGGAACUGUCGGGGUGAGAGGCAGUGCCGCCGAGAGGAAGGAAGGGGGGGGAAGGGUUACGAGGGACAGUUUGUCCUGGGCGGCAGAUAUCCAAGGAACGCCAAAUGAAAAGAAGGUACCUAAAAAAAAAGAUCUUUCAUAUAUAAUAUAAGGAAAUUUUGAUAAAUAAAGUCGCCAAUGAGGUUUGCUUUCCCAGACGACGUGACGGCUUUCGACGGUCCAGGUUAGAGGUUGCAAAAAAAAUGUAGUUUGAGUAUUAAUUGCUGCAGCGUCAGUAAUAUUUGACCCAACCUGUUUAGUAUGACGAGGGUUUUUUACAUUAAAUCGAAGAUUCACUAACUAGAAAAUAUUUGAAAAUACAAAGAAAGAUAAUCAAUAAA
Molecule: non-coding RNA, 2235 nt
Organism: Hydra vulgaris (swiftwater hydra)
Lineage: Eukaryota; Metazoa; Cnidaria; Hydrozoa; Anthoathecata; Hydridae
Source: RefSeq, a predicted model, not a curated record